CCUACGGGUGGCAGCAGUGGGGAAUAUUGCACAAUGGGCGCAACCCUGAUGCAGCAACGCCGCGUGAGUGAUGACGGCCUUCGGGUUGUAAAGCCCUGUCUUCAGGGACGAUAAUGACGGUACCUGAGGAGGAAGCCACGGCUAACUACGUGCCAGCAGCCGCGGUACUACGUAGGUGGCGGGGGUUGUCCGGAUUUAGUGGGCGUAAAGGGGGGGUAGGCGGAAUUUUAAGUGCGCUGUGAAAUACUCGGGCUCAACUUGAGUUCUGCAUUUGAAACUGGAAGUCUAGAGUGCAGGAGAGGAGAAUGGAAUUCGUGGUGUAGCGGUGAAAUGCGUAGAGAUCAGGAAGAACUCCAGUGGCGAAGGCGAUUCACUGGCCUGUAACUGACGCUGAGGCUCGAAAGCGUGGGGAGCGAACAGGAUUAGAUACCCUUGUAGUC
RNAcentral lists this ribosomal RNA (440 nucleotides) under uncultured bacterium. RNAcentral describes it as "partial 16S ribosomal RNA". It matches the Rfam family "Bacterial small subunit ribosomal RNA", at positions 338 to 795 of the family's 1533-position model. The record is from RNAcentral.